GACGUAGGGCGCGAGCGUUGUCCGGAUUUAUUGGGCGUAAAGAGCUCGUAGGCGGCUUGUCGCGUCGAAUGUGAAAUCUCAGGGCUCAACUCUGACAUUGCAUUCGAUACGGGCAGGCUAGAGUUCGGUAGGGGAGACUGGAAUUCCUGGUGUAGCGGUGAAAUGCGCAGAUAUCAGGAGGAACACCGGUGGCGAAGGCGGGUCUCUGGGCAGUAACUGACGCUGAGGAGCGAAAGCGUGGGGAGCGAACAGG
RNAcentral lists this ribosomal RNA (253 nucleotides) under uncultured bacterium. RNAcentral describes it as "partial 16S ribosomal RNA". It matches the Rfam family "Bacterial small subunit ribosomal RNA", at positions 524 to 776 of the family's 1533-position model. The record is from RNAcentral.